AUGCAAAAUAUUAGGAGUCGGCCGCUCAAUAUUUUCUUGCAAAUUCAUGAGUUAUCUGCUAUAUGGAAAGAUAGAGUCGCCAAAUUAAUUACGAAAAACCAUGCAUCGAUAGAAAAGCGUGCGAUCAUAACCUCUGAGGAUAGGGUGCACUUCAUGAGAUAUCUUCCCAUAUUUAUCUGCACCAUUGAUGAUGUCGCAAUCACCUUUUUUCUAACAACCCACUUUAAUAUUAUUCCUAUAUUGUCGUCUAUGUUAAAUUCAUCUCUUCCUUUGAUUCAGCCACACUUGAUAUUAUUUAUGGAAUAG
This 306-nucleotide ribosomal RNA is filed under the name Triticum aestivum (bread wheat). RNAcentral's name for it is "partial small subunit ribosomal RNA". Lineage: Eukaryota; Viridiplantae; Streptophyta; Magnoliopsida; Poales; Poaceae. The record is from RNAcentral.